AAUUGUUUGACGUCACAAGGUCAAAUUUGCAACAACGUUUGUGAUUGGUCGAUAUAGUCGAAAAUGGCAGCCCCUGCUUGACUCACAUGUUGAAGUUGUACGUUUGAUUAGCUGUUGAUAGAUAUAUGAGAAGGUUUAUAUGAUGUCAGGUCAUAUAAAGCAUGUAAAGGUUUCACAUAGUGAACUUUGUUAUGAUGCUGAGGUCUUAUUGCAACUUAAAGAAGACGUUUUGGAGAGGGAGACACUCAAAUCACAGUUUCCUUCAGCAGUGGGUUUGAGGUACCAUGUAGGAGGGGUGUUGAAAGCCGUUGCAGCUGAUACAAGAGGGUUUUCUUCUCCAGAUGGAGGUUGGGGAACAAGAAGAUAUAUUGUUGUAACAACAGCAGAAUGUGCUGGACAAGCAAGAGAUAUCAUUGGCAACAGGCCAAGUACAAGUGGAUUGGCUCAGCAGAUUGCUUCUGUGUUUAAGUCGUCAAAAGCCACUUCACACCCAAGGACACAUUUCUCACCAAUACAGGGAGCUGCCUCCAGAAAAGACAUCAGACAACAAAUGAAGAAGAAGAAGAAGUUAUUUGAAAAGUCAUAUAAAGUUGUUUUUAUUGGAAAUAUAAAAUUGCCAGGCAUUCUGUGUGCAGAUAUUAUCCUAGAAGAAGGAUUAAUUAACAUAAGUUCGGAGGAUACAGAGGACACUAUUAAAAACAAACUACUUGACAUAUUUGACAGUACUGACAAAGAUCCCACCAAGAUCAAUUUUUUAUCGUGCUCCCAUAAAAAAUUAUCCAAACCAAAUGUACCAUCAACAUUCAAAUUUGAUGGAAUAGGGCUGAAGGCUCUGAUUGGUCAAGGGAAGCUAUAUAUGUUCUUGUCGAGGGCCCUGAGUUCGAAAAUGAUAUGGACAUGAUGGAUCAAAACAAAUUAGAUGACACAGACAUGACAGACGAGGAACUUCCAGUAUUCGGCAAGACACACUCUUUACAGGAUAAAAACAAUAUUUGUACAGUGGCAGAAAAUUGUAUUCGUACUCGACACACAACAGAUACCCCAAGCAGACACAAAUGCAAGUAUGAACAGUGACCAGGAAAAUACAGGCUCAUCCCCAAAACCACAAACAGACAUCACCAAAACUGUGCAAAGUCAGGAUAUAGUGGAAGAUGAUCCGGAAGGUGAUCGGGAAGAUACAGGCACACCGACAAUAACAUUUCAUCCAUCGUGCUUAGAACGUAGAGAGCGUAGAUCUCGAUUAAGCUUGCGGUCAUCCACUGGUAAUGAUGCUCCGGCAUGUCCUUCAACUUACAGGUCAUAUGUCCAGCUGUUUGAAACUGAAAUAGUAACAGUUGAUGACUCUGAUGAUGAAGGUGACAAAACCAUACCAAUGGAUGUUGAUAUCAGUUUGCCAGAGUUAUUAAUAAAGUUACAGUCACAGGUUGACCUGGAGAAGAUAACGAAAUUCAAUAUCAACAGAAACCUUGUUUUAGAUGGUGCUCAGAGAGCCAUCAAAAGGAAAUCCUUCUGUGCUAAAAGCAAGAUAAGUGUGAAGUUUACGGACGAUGUAGGAAUCGCGGAAUUGCCAUAGAUGAAGGUGGACCAAAAAGAGAGUUCUUGAGAAUGCUGAUGAAAAAGAUCCAAUACCUGCACAUUUUUGAAGGUCCUGAAAACAGAAGAAUUUUGGCCUAUAGUACAUCAGCCCUAGAAGACAAUCUGUACAGAGAUGUUGGAUUAUUCUUUUCCCUAUCCAUUGUACACGGAGGACCAUCAACAAAAUUCCUUUCUCCAGCUAUGUACAAUGCGUUAGUGGGACAAGCUGGAGAAAGGAAUAUUGAAGAUAUAACAGAUGGUGACUUGAGAGGAGAAGUUCAAAAGAAGAUGAGGAUGGUGAAAUUACCUUAGGUGAUGUUUUAUCAUUUGCAACUGGAGCAGACAGUGUACCUCCAUUAGGAUUUGAUCCAUCACCAUCUAUUACUUUUCUUCAUGACUCAGGAUUGUUUCCAAAAGCAAACACAUGCUCAAUGGAGUUGAAGCUUCCAGUUUCAGUAGAUUUUAAUACAUUCAAAAAACUAAUGACUUUUGGAAUUGCAAACUCACCAGGCUUUGGACUGGCAUAAACCAUUCAUGGGAGCCUCUAAUUUUAAUACUCAUCCAUACUUCAUCUUCAUUUUUUGUCUUGCCUGGUGCAAAGGUUGUUACAAAUACAAAUUUGAAUAUUUCUGUAUAAAUAUAUUGAUCAUAUAAAUUCUUAUACAAAUGGUAUCAUGUUGUCGUUGUCCAUAGACAUUUGGUUUUCACACGAUAACUUUAGUAUAAGUAAAUAAAAGUCUAUGAAAUUUAAACACAUGGUUUUUCACCACAAAAAGAAGGUUGGGAUUGAUAUUUGGAGUUUUGGUCCUAACAGUUUAGGAGGAAGAGGCCAAAAGGGUAAAAUUUUAACUCUUUUUUUGUUGAUUUCAUCAAAAAUUGAAUUAUUUGAUAUGUCGAUUCUAACCGUGUAUUUGGAUUCUGAAUUUUUGGUCCUGUUUUCGAAUUGGUCUACAUUAAGAUCCAAAGGGUCCAAAAUUAAACUUAGUUUGAUUUUAACAAAAAAAUAAUUCUUGGGGUUGUUUGAUAUGCUGAAUCUGAAAAUGUAUGAAUUUUAAUUAUGGGCCCAGUUUUCAAGUUGGUCCAAAUAGGGGUUCAAAUUAAACUUUUGUUUGAUUUCAACCAAAAUUGAAUAUAAGGGGUUCGUUCUUUGACAUGCUCAAUCUAACCAUGUAUUUAGAUUUUUGAUAUUUGGGCCCCGUUAUCAAAUUGGACCACAUUAAGGUCUAAAGGGUCCAAAAUUGCAACUUUAUUUGAUUUCAUCAAAAAUUGAGUUCUUGUGGUUCUUUGAUACGCUGAAUCUAACCAUGUAUUUAAAUUUUGGAAAAUGGACCAUAAAAAGUGAAUGUCCAAUUUUAAACUUUUCAGCUUUUAGACCCCAUUCAUUCUGUGUCAGAAACCUAUGCAGUUUCAACUUUUUAAUCACAAUCCAAAUUCAGAGCUGUAUGAAACUCGAAUGUUGUGUCCAUAUUUGCUCCCACUUUUCAGGGUUCCACUUCUGCGGUGGUGUCAAGCUGUGCCCUGCCAAACAUUUUAUUAUGUUAUAGUUUUGAACAACAAGAAACUCAGGUGUAUUAUAUGUUAAAUUGUUGUUUGACUCAAACUGCACAGACAUCUGAGUUUGAUUAUUUUGUAAAACAUGUAUAACAGUUAGGGAAACUGAUGAGUUGUUGAAAAUAAAAUAUUUAGAUCUAAUGUUAUCAUAAUACUAUGAACUUUUGUUUUGCAAUUUAUGGAGAACAUAACUGUCAGGUUUAUUUUCAUUAAAAUGUUUUAUUAAA
This is an RNA transcript of Mytilus californianus (California mussel), 3353 nucleotides long. RefSeq lists it as uncharacterized. NCBI's taxonomy places the organism in Eukaryota, Metazoa, Mollusca, Bivalvia, Mytilida, Mytilidae. The record is from RefSeq and is a predicted model, not a curated record. The transcript is spliced from 12 exons.